Molecule: ribosomal RNA, 253 nt
Filed under: uncultured bacterium
Lineage: Bacteria
Description: partial 16S ribosomal RNA
Rfam family: Bacterial small subunit ribosomal RNA
Source: RNAcentral
UACGUAGGGGGCAAGCGUUGUUCGGAAUUACUGGGCGUAAAGGGCUCGUAGGCGGCCAACUAAGUCAGACGUGAAAUCCCUCGGCUUAACCGGGGAACUGCGUCUGAUACUGGAUGGCUUGAGUUUGGGAGAGGGAUGCGGAAUUCCAGGUGUAGCGGUGAAAUGCGUAGAUAUCGGGAGGAACACCAGUGGCGAAGGCGACUACCUGGCCUGUUCUUGACGCUGAGGCGCGAAAGCUAGGGGAGCAAACGGG